AAAGCUACAAGCUUGAGUCGGAAAUUUUGUCUAAUUCCCUCACAUUUGACGCGAAUUAAGGCUUAAUGGAUGAACUUUGCGGGGUAAUGUUUUGUUUAAAGUAUUUGGAAGCAAAUUUAAGGAAUUGAAGAUAAUCUAU
Molecule: non-coding RNA, 139 nt
Organism: Corylus avellana
Lineage: Eukaryota; Viridiplantae; Streptophyta; Magnoliopsida; Fagales; Betulaceae
Source: RefSeq, a predicted model, not a curated record